This 252-nucleotide ribosomal RNA is filed under the name uncultured bacterium. Its description in RNAcentral is "partial 16S ribosomal RNA". It matches the Rfam family "Bacterial small subunit ribosomal RNA", at positions 525 to 776 of the family's 1533-position model. The record is from RNAcentral.
ACGUAGGAGACGAACGUUCUCCGGAGUUACUGGGCGUAAAGGGCGUGUAGGCGGUAUGUUCAGUCUGGCGUGAAAGCUCUCGGCUAAACCGGGAGAGGUCGUUGGAUACUGACACACUAGAGGAUGGUAGAGGCGUGUGGAAUUCCGGGUGUAGUGGUGAAAUGCGUAGAGAUCCGGAGGAACACCAGUGGCGAAGGCGACACGCUGGGCCAUACCUGACGCUAAAGCGCGACAGCAUGGGGAGCAAACGGG